ACAUAGGUCGGAUGCACGGCUUUGCCGGCAUCCUGCACCACGGUGUAGCGCAGCACCUUGGUGGCCCCGGUUUCGGGGUCGACCUCGAUAUCGCAG
Molecule: small RNA, 96 nt
Filed under: Sinorhizobium meliloti 2011
Lineage: Bacteria; Pseudomonadati; Pseudomonadota; Alphaproteobacteria; Hyphomicrobiales; Rhizobiaceae
Description: putative ncRNA
Source: RNAcentral